This 943-nucleotide ribosomal RNA is filed under the name Microbacterium sp. Tpl-23. RNAcentral's name for it is "bacterial SSU rRNA". It matches the Rfam family "Bacterial small subunit ribosomal RNA", at positions 89 to 1046 of the family's 1533-position model. Lineage: Bacteria; Bacillati; Actinomycetota; Actinomycetes; Micrococcales; Microbacteriaceae. The record is from RNAcentral.
GGAUCAGUGGCGAACGGGUGAGUAACACGUGAGCAACCUGCCCCUGACUCUGGGAUAAGCGCUGGAAACGGCGUCUAAUACUGGAUACGAGUAGCGACCGCAUGGUCAGUUACUGGAAAGAUUUAUUGGUUGGGGAUGGGCUCGCGGCCUAUCAGCUUGUUGGUGAGGUAAUGGCUCACCAAGGCGUCGACGGGUAGCCGGCCUGAGAGGGUGACCGGCCACACUGGGACUGAGACACGGCCCAGACUCCUACGGGAGGCAGCAGUGGGGAAUAUUGCACAAUGGGCGCAAGCCUGAUGCAGCAACGCCGCGUGAGGGAUGACGGCCUUCGGGUUGUAAACCUCUUUUAGCAGGGAAGAAGCGAAAGUGACGGUACCUGCAGAAAAAGCGCCGGCUAACUACGUGCCAGCAGCCGCGGUAAUACGUAGGGCGCAAGCGUUAUCCGGAAUUAUUGGGCGUAAAGAGCUCGUAGGCGGUUUGUCGCGUCUGCUGUGAAAUCCGGAGGCUCAACCUCCGGCCUGCAGUGGGUACGGGCAGACUAGAGUGCGGUAGGGGAGAUUGGAAUUCCUGGUGUAGCGGUGGAAUGCGCAGAUAUCAGGAGGAACACCGAUGGCGAAGGCAGAUCUCUGGGCCGUAACUGACGCUGAGGAGCGAAAGGGUGGGGAGCAAACAGGCUUAGAUACCCUGGUAGUCCACCCCGUAAACGUUGGGAACUAGUUGUGGGGUCCAUUCCACGGAUUCCGUGACGCAGCUAACGCAUUAAGUUCCCCGCCUGGGGAGUACGGCCGCAAGGCUAAAACUCAAAGGAAUUGACGGGGACCCGCACAAGCGGCGGAGCAUGCGGAUUAAUUCGAUGCAACGCGAAGACCUUACCAAGGCUUGACAUAUACGAGAACGGGCCAGAAUGGUCAACUCUUUGGACACUCGUAAACAGGUGGUGCAU